RNAcentral lists this ribosomal RNA (2310 nucleotides) under Triticum aestivum (bread wheat). Its description in RNAcentral is "partial small subunit ribosomal RNA". Lineage: Eukaryota; Viridiplantae; Streptophyta; Magnoliopsida; Poales; Poaceae. The record is from RNAcentral.
CCAAUUGUAGAAGAUGAUGAAGCAAAUGAUGAAGUUCAGUUUGAAGUAGAUUUGGAAGCACUUGAGUCUGAUCCUGGGAAACGGAUGCCCAUCUCUAGGUACAAUGUCAAUGACCAGGAUAAAGUUAGAAGGAGAUACAUCGAGUUGGGGGCAUGUCAACCAAAGAAACAUAAUUUUGAGUAUAGAGAUAUAAGUGGAUUACAGCGUCGCUUUUCUCCUUCUUGGUUUAAGGAUUACAAGUGGCUUGAGUAUAGUGUGGACAAAGAAGCCGCUUUCUGCUUCGUUUGCUUUUUGUUCAAGGAUAAAAAAAGAUGUCCCGGUGGAGAUGAUUUUGUGAAGAAGGGAUUUAAUAACUGGAACAUGAAGUCGAGAUUGAAGAAACAUGAAGGUGAGGUUUGUAGUGCUCAUGCUGAAGCUCAAGAGAAGUAAGAUAGGUUCACUACACCACAAACAUCAAUUCGGGAGUCUAUUGCUUCAAACACCUCACAAUACAAGGCUUUGUACAAACAACGUUUGACAUGGACACUCAAGUGUGUGAGAUUUUUGUUGCGCCAAGGCUUCGCAUUUAGAGGACAUGAUGAAAGUGAAGACUCACUAAAUAAAGGAAAUUUCCUUGAGCUUCUAAAUUGGCUAGCAGGAAAUUUUGAAGAGGUUGACAGGGUUGUUCUCAAGAAUGCUCCACGGAACUGCAGGAUGACUCACCAUGAUAUACAGCAAGAGGUGAUAAAAUGUUGUGCACAAGAGACUACUAAACUAGUCAUUGAGGAACUUGAUGGUGGUCAUUUUGCAAUACUUGCAGAUGAGUCUAGUGAUGUUUAUCAGAAUGAACAGUUGGCUGUUUGCUUGCGUUAUGUUGAUAAGAAAGGAAGGGCGGUUGUAAGAUUUCUUGGUCUUGCUCACGUUGAAGAUACUACCUCUUUGACACUAAAAGCUGCAAUUCAGAAAAUGCUUAUGGACUACAAUUUGACCUUUGCAAUGGUUCGUGGGCAAGGAUAUGAUGGAGCUAGUAACAUGAGAGGUAAUGCUAAUGGCCUGAAAAAACUGAUUAUGGAUGAGUCCCCUUCUGCCUACUAUGUUCAUUGUUUUGCCCAUCAACUACAGUUAACUCUUGUUGCUGUUGCUAAGGAGAGUGGUGAUUGUACUUGGUUCUUUCAGCAGCUUGCACACUUGUUAAAUGCUCUUGGCAUGUCUUGUAAAAAUAUGAGAAUGCUUCGGAUAGCUCAGGCUUAAGAACUCAUUGAUGCAUUGGAAUUGGAAGAAGUAGAAACAGGGAGUGGGCUGAAUCAGGAAAUGGGUUUGGGAAGGCCAUGUGAUACACGUUGGAGCUCUCACUUCAAAACUGUGAACCGUGUCAUCUCUAUGUAUGGUACACUACGACGAGUCCUUCGCAAGAUUGGAGAUGAGUACCAUGGUGCGGAGGCACAAGCAGCUCUAUCCAUAGAGAAAAUAUUUCGAUCAUUUGAGUUUGUUUUCAUGGCACACUUGAUGCCAGAAAUAUUUGGAUACACAGAUGAGUUGUGUAGAGCUUUGCAAAAGCAAGACGAAGAUAUUGUUCAUGCUAUUGAGCUUGUUGGUGACACAAAGUAUUACUUGGAGGCUUUGAGGACCGAUGCUGGAUGGGAUGAUUUUCUCACAAAGGUCACAUCUUUUUGUACAAAGCAUAAGAUCAAAGUUGUUGAUAUGGAGGGUCCUUACUUUUCCGUUGGCCGGCCUAGAAGGGGUUUAUGUAAUGGUGUGAGCAAUUACCACCGCUUCAAGGUUGAUAUGUUUGUGGGUGUCAUUGAUAGGCAAAUCAGUGAGCUGAAUGGCAGAUUCGAUGAGGUAAACACGGAGCUACUUUCUUGCAUGGCAGCAUUCUGUCCACUUCAUCUAUUUGCUGCUUAUGACCAAGAGAAGUUGGUUAGGCUUGCUACAAAGUUUUAUGCUUCUGAUUUUACAAGUGAUGAACUGGCAAGACUUCCAUGGCAACUAAACAUGUAUGUUACUAAUGUGCGUAGAGAUGAAAGGUUUCAAAAUCUAAAAAAUCUGUGUCAGCUUUCAGUUAUGCUUGCUGAGACAAACAAGCAUGAACAAUAUCAUAUUGUUUACAAGCUUCUUAAGUUGGUAUUGAUUCUGCCAGUAGCUACUGCUAGUGUUGAAAGGGUAUUCUCUUCAAUGAGCUAUGUGAAUAAUAAGCUAAGGAACAAAAUUUGUGAUGAAUAUUUGAACAAUUGCUUGGUUACAUUUGUUGAGAGAGAAUUUUUCGAUCAAGUGAAGGAUGAAGAUGUCAUCAAUCUCUUCCAAAAAGGCGACCGCAAAGUUAUAUUGUAA